AUCUAUGUUCUUUUACACAUAGAAAAGUAGCUUUGGAAUUUAUUACCCAUGUUCUUUUAUAUUACUAUUUUCCUAGAUAAGUUGAUAAAAUUUAUUCAUAUUUUUCAUGAUAUCCCUUAUGCUUUUUAGAUUUGACUAAGUUAUUAAGUAUUGAAUGAUGGAAACGUUGAAAAUGAGAAUGGGCAUGUUAAAUGCAGCAUUAAAUGCCUAUUUUACUAGC
This 220-nucleotide long non-coding RNA is filed under the name Elaeis guineensis (African oil palm). RNAcentral describes it as "long non-coding RNA (EGUI_LNC016193)". The record is from RNAcentral. Lineage: Eukaryota; Viridiplantae; Streptophyta; Magnoliopsida; Arecales; Arecaceae.